CUCGUAGGUGGCCAACUAAGUCAGACGUGAAAUCCCUCGGCUUAACCGGGGAACUGCGUCUGAUACUGGAUGGCUAGAGAUUGGGAGAGGGAUGCGGAAUUCCAGGUGUAGCGGUGAAAUGCGUAGAUAUCUGGAGGAACACCGGUGGCGAAGGCGGCAUCCUGGACCAACACUGACGCUGAGGAGCGAAAGCCAGGGAGCAAACG
RNAcentral lists this ribosomal RNA (206 nucleotides) under uncultured bacterium. RNAcentral's name for it is "partial 16S ribosomal RNA". It matches the Rfam family "Bacterial small subunit ribosomal RNA", at positions 568 to 774 of the family's 1533-position model. The record is from RNAcentral.